This is a non-coding RNA of Desulfosporosinus orientis DSM 765, 233 nucleotides long. The record is from Rfam. Lineage: Bacteria; Bacillati; Bacillota; Clostridia; Eubacteriales; Desulfitobacteriaceae.
AAAUUCCUAUUCAGGAAAAGGGCAAAGCCACCCUACCUGAAAUCGAGCCUUGGGUCUGUAAAGGUAACGAUACAGAUUAAGCAUAGGCAGAGCGACGUUCAGGCCGUAACGCAAGUGAAGUUAUUGAGCCUCGUUAGAACAACCGAGGGCCGACGGAGUCGAAUAUCCGGAAGGCUACAGUAGAUUUCCGCUAUUGGCGAGGAAAUUGGAGACCUCGGCGGGGUCUGAGUACA